UACGUAGGGGGCAAGCGUUAUCCGGAUUUACUGGGUGUAAAGGGAGCGUAGACGGCCAGACAAGUCUGAAGUGAAAAUCCAGCGCUUAACGCUGGAAGUGCUUUGGAAACUGCCGGGCUGGAGUGCAGGAGGGGCAGGCGGAAUUCCUAGUGUAGCGGUGAAAUGCGUAGAUAUUAGGAGGAACACCAGUGGCGAAGGCGGCCUGCUGGACUGCAACUGACGUCGAGGCUCGAAGGCGUGGGGAGCAAACAGG
RNAcentral lists this ribosomal RNA (253 nucleotides) under uncultured bacterium. RNAcentral's name for it is "partial 16S ribosomal RNA". It matches the Rfam family "Bacterial small subunit ribosomal RNA", at positions 524 to 776 of the family's 1533-position model. The record is from RNAcentral.